Molecule: long non-coding RNA, 408 nt
Organism: Asparagus officinalis (garden asparagus)
Lineage: Eukaryota; Viridiplantae; Streptophyta; Magnoliopsida; Asparagales; Asparagaceae
Exons: 3
Source: RefSeq, a predicted model, not a curated record
AGCAGCCUUUGGAUUUCUAGUCAUCUGCCUUCUAUUUGCUAGAAAUCUCAUGAAGAAGAAAGAUGAUUAUUGAGUGUUGGUGGUUGGUGAUACUUUGAAUGAUUACAGAAGGUUGGAAAGUUUUGAAAUGAAUGGCUAUUCUUCUGUUUGAUUGGAUGCAUUACAGAGGGUUUUCUUUGAUUUUUCUUCAUCAGCUAUGUGAGUGUCAUCCAUCAAGAGAUUAUUUAAAGAGGAAAGGAGAGAAAAUAAUUGGUACUCCAUUAUGGCCUCACAGAAAGUACAGAGAGAUUCAAUGGAUUCUUUUCAUUAGGCUAAAUGCAUGGUUUAGGCUAACUAUGUGCUUUGAUUACUUGGUUAUUAAGGGUUUUUGAACAUUGUUAGCUUUUUUUUUCUUUUUUUACUGUACUA